AAUCAACGCUGGCGGCGUGCCUCAGACAUGCAAGUCGAACGAUUAAACUUUCCUUCGGGAAAGAUAUAAAGUGGCGCACGGGUGAGUAACACGUAAGUAAUCUACCUUCGAGUGGGGAAUAACGUCCGGAAACGGACGCUAAUACCGCAUAAUGCAGCGGCACCUUAUGGUGACAGUUGUUAAAGGAGCAAUUCGCUUGAAGAGGAGCUUGCGGCAGAUUAGCUAGUUGGAAGGUAACGGCUUACCAAGGCUACGAUCUGUAACCGGUCUAAGAGGACGGUCGGUCACACUGACACUGAAUAACGGGUCAGACUCC
This 316-nucleotide ribosomal RNA is filed under the name uncultured bacterium. RNAcentral's name for it is "bacterial SSU rRNA". It matches the Rfam family "Bacterial small subunit ribosomal RNA", at positions 32 to 339 of the family's 1533-position model. The record is from RNAcentral.